UUGUUGGGGUUUAUUAGUAU
RNAcentral lists this microRNA (20 nucleotides) under Corchorus olitorius. Its description in RNAcentral is "bta-miR-24". The record is from RNAcentral. Lineage: Eukaryota; Viridiplantae; Streptophyta; Magnoliopsida; Malvales; Malvaceae.